UUUCGUUUCAAGGAUCGGUUCUGAUUUCUGUAGGUGGAUGUGUGCUUGCAACCAAGGUUUGUUUUCUUGAUAUAUUUCAGUUUCAAUUGAUUUUGUUUGUUAGUUUAAUUUCUACCAUAGUUUAAGAUCAUUGCAAAUCAAACCCCCCCAAUUACAUAACGUAUAACAUAAAAAUCUGAACUAAACCUUCCUCGUGGGAUCGAC
This 204-nucleotide long non-coding RNA is filed under the name Populus trichocarpa (black cottonwood). RNAcentral describes it as "long non-coding RNA (PTRI_LNC003447)". Lineage: Eukaryota; Viridiplantae; Streptophyta; Magnoliopsida; Malpighiales; Salicaceae. The record is from RNAcentral.